CAAGAGCGUAUAUUAAAAGUUGUUGCAGUUAAAAAAGCUCGUAGUUGGAUUUCUGGUACAAUGCGCCUGGCCCGCGGCAGUAAUGCUUGUGAGUGCCGGUGCGCGUUUGCCAUCCUUCUAGAAAACGUUUCUACCCUUUACUGGGCCAGGACUCGCGAUCUAGACUUUUACUUUGAAAAAAUUAGAGUGUUCAAAGCAGGCUUUUUGCUGUGAAUACAUUAGCAUGGAAUAAUAAUCUAGGACUUCGGUUUUUAUUUUGUUGGUUUCUAACACUGAAGUAAUGAUUGAUAGGGAUAGUUGGGGGUGCUAGUAUUGGCCGGCCAGAGGUGAAAUUCUUGGAUUCGGUCAAGACUAACUUAUGCGAAAGCAUUCACCAAAGGAUGUCUUCUUUAAUCAAGAACGAAAGUUAGGGGAUCGAAGAUGAUCAGAU
This 430-nucleotide ribosomal RNA is filed under the name uncultured eukaryote. Its description in RNAcentral is "SSU rRNA". It matches the Rfam family "Eukaryotic small subunit ribosomal RNA", at positions 592 to 1013 of the family's 1831-position model. The record is from RNAcentral.